AUUGAACGCUGGCGGCAUGCCUUACACAUGCAAGUCGAACGGCAGCACGGGAGCAAUCCUGGUGGCGAGUGGCGAACGGGUGAGUAAUAUAUCGGAACGUGCCCAGUAGUGGGGGAUAGCCCGGCGAAAGCCGGAUUAAUACCGCAUGAGACCUGAGGGUGAAAGCGGGGGAUCGCAAGACCUCGCGCUAUUGGAGCGGCCGAUAUCAGAUUAGCUAGUUGGUGGGGUAAAGGCCUACCAAGGCAACGAUCUGUAGUUGGUCUGAGAGGACGACCAGCCACACUGGGACUGAGACACGGUCCAGACUCCUACGGGAGGCAGCAGUAGGGAAUAUUGGACAAUGGGGGCAACCCUGAUCCAGCCAUGCCGCGUGAGUGAAGAAGGCCCUCGGGUUGUAAAGCUCUUUUGUCCGGAAAGAAAAGCAUCUGGUUAAUACCCGGGUGUUCUGACGGUACCGGAAGAAUAAGCACCGGCUAACUUCGUGCCAGCAGCCGCGGU
This 498-nucleotide ribosomal RNA is filed under the name uncultured bacterium. RNAcentral describes it as "bacterial SSU rRNA". It matches the Rfam family "Bacterial small subunit ribosomal RNA", at positions 30 to 521 of the family's 1533-position model. The record is from RNAcentral.